UUGCUUUUGUAGCAUAUAUACAAAAACUGGAAUAGUAUCAAGAAUAUCAGUAUAGCUCCUGCACAAGGACGACAUGCAAAUUUAUGAAGCAUUACCUACACAC
This is a small nuclear RNA of Pteropus vampyrus (large flying fox), 103 nucleotides long. The record is from Ensembl. NCBI's taxonomy places the organism in Eukaryota, Metazoa, Chordata, Mammalia, Chiroptera, Pteropodidae.